RNAcentral lists this ribosomal RNA (253 nucleotides) under uncultured bacterium. RNAcentral's name for it is "partial 16S ribosomal RNA". It matches the Rfam family "Bacterial small subunit ribosomal RNA", at positions 524 to 776 of the family's 1533-position model. The record is from RNAcentral.
UACGGAGGGUGCAAACGUUGCUCGGAAUCAUUGGGCGUAAAGCGCACGUAGGCGGCGUGAUAAGUUGGGUGUGAAAGCCCUGGGCUCAACCCAGGAAGUGCAUUCAAAACUGUCACGCUUGAAUCUCGGAGGGGGUCAGAGAAUUCCCGGUGUAGAGGUGAAAUUCGUAGAUAUCGGGAGGAAUACCAGUGGCGAAGGCGCUGACCUGGACGAAGAUUGACGCUGAGGUACGAAAGCGCGGGGAGCAAACAGG